UUACUUACAUGGUAGGGGAAUACCGUGAUCGCAAAGGUUGUUUUCCCAGGGGAGACUCACCCAUUGCAUUCUGGGUGAGCUAACCCCUGUGUUUUCCCCAAGUGUGGGAAAUUCAACUGCAGAAUUUGUGGUAGUGGGGGGCUGCGUUUGUGCUUUCCCCCC
Small nuclear RNA from Pteronotus mesoamericanus, 162 nucleotides. RefSeq annotates it as U1 spliceosomal RNA. The transcript has a single exon. NCBI's taxonomy places the organism in Eukaryota, Metazoa, Chordata, Mammalia, Chiroptera, Mormoopidae. The record is from RefSeq and is a predicted model, not a curated record.